UGCGAUUAGACACAUUCAAAACAAAUGCUUUUGUUCGGCCAGGACAAAACCUUUCCCUGCUUCUCGGCUCAUUUUCCUCCAACACUGUUGCCAUUGUUUCCCCUCCACUGCCUCUCGUCACUCUCUACUUGUUGGAGUGUUAAUGAGGACAGCGAGCUUUUCUCACUCCAGCGGCUUUCUAACACCUCCUAAUGAGGAAGGAUGGACAUGGAGAGAGAGAAGAACGAGGAGAUACGGACCCGUGGACCCGUGGACUCAUGGACAGGGAGUUUCCCCCUCAAGCUCAUGGAAGCGCUGUGGUUUUCCUAGCGUGGCUCGGGAUGCCGUCUCUACUGCCACAAUAGGAGCAUUGUACUCUAGAAACAUGGGCCACAGAGAGAUGCCAUUGUUUUAUCAGGUAACGUUACCUGCGAUUUGAUCGACGAUAGCGCCUCGUGUUUUUGUAAGAAGAAUCCACAAAUAUAUCAGCGCCUGGUCUUAGGCCACCUCGACUUCCCGAAGGCCUGGCAGUGGCCCACUUAAGCGCCAACUUAAAGAAAGCAGAGAGGCUUUUCAUUUAAGAACUGCAUUCCUGGGAACUACAGAGAGAAAGAAAAAAGAGAGAAAAAAGGAGAGCAGAGGACGUGGAAGAGCUUUGCACGAAACCCUGCCCGUGUUAAGGUGAUACACGGCAUCUGCAGGAAAAGCACUGAUGCCGUGCCAAGGCAUGUCAUUUAAGGUGUCUUCUACAGAAGCACAUAUGAUGCCAUUGAGCUCGGCGAAGCAGGGGUGGGAUUUUUUUUUUUCUUAAGUUCUGCCAGGACUUUGAGGUGGGCUGCUGAUAGAGACCUGUGAAAGGGACUAGGACAGCGAAGAGGCAUGAUACGCAUGAAACCGAAUAGCCUCCAGCGGCAGGUCGACUCUUUCAUUUCUCCACUCGUUUCACAAACUCUUGAGGCGUAAAUGUAAAUCACAGCAAAGAAGCUAGAAAAUCUGCUGCACAGGGCAGAACCUGCUUUGACCUUACAGCACAUUUUUAUAGCAUCAUAGCAGUGCUGAAGAACUCAAAUACCAAUAUAACAUUUUUCAGUUCAUCACCUCCUUGACACUGCUUAGAAAAUUCAUUUCAUAAAUAAGAAAUAAAAGGGGUGACCAUCUCUAAAAAAAAUAAUAAAAAAUGCCACUAAGUGCUGUAAUCCAAUGUCCUAAAAGAAACAAAACACUAUAUGGCCAAAAGUUUGGAGACACAGUAGUUAAACUCAUAGUUGCGAUCAAAACAUUCCAAUCCAGUUUGGUUCCCCCUUUGCUGCUUUAAUAUUAUGGGAAUAUUUGUGGGGAUUUGUCCUUAUUCAUCUAAAAUAGCAUUAGUAAAAUCAGGUACUGAUGUUGGAUAAGGAGGCCUGGAGGUGCAGUGUGUGUUUAAUUAAUUCCAAAGGUGUUCAGUUAGGCUGGGGUCAGGGCUCUGUGCAGGAUAUGAAGGAUUUCUUAAACUUUAGCAACUUAAUGUAACUAAUGCUGGUUUGUGCAUCUUUGUUCUAGUGAAGGGGAAAUUGUAAUGCUACAGCAAACAUUCUAAACAGAUCUUGUCACAACCGAGGUUCAAACCAGGGUUUAGUUGUGAAAAGCAACCAAAAAAAUAAAUAAUUGGGGACAAAGGGUGAAGAAGCUUCCCAAGAAAAUAAACUAGAAAAAAAAGCAAACUAAAUGUCAAACUACAGGGGAAAAGCCGCUCAGGACCCAGACCACGCGCCGCUCAGGACCCAGACCACGCGCCGCUCAGGACCCAGACCACGCGCCGCUCAGGCUUACAAACAGCAUACACAAAGCAGGCUGGGCAAUAACAAUAGCAAAAAGGGGCAACUUAAAAACCCUGGGGCUAAUGAGGCACAGGUGAAAGCAAUGGGGACUAAUGAUAAGAAUGAGAACACAAUGGCAACAUCUGGUGUGGUGAGAAACGAAAGACACACAGAAGAAAAAAGACAAGAAAAGAAAGAAAGAACAGGCCAGAAAAAAAGAGAUUCUUGCUGAUUGUAUACUUUGAUGUUUUGCGGCAACAGUUUAGGAAAAGACCCAAUGUUGUGUAUGAGUAAAUUUGUUCACUAACAAUUGACCUUAUACUGUACAUUAUAGCAGCUAUAAGUGGUAUUUUCUUACAUUCUCUGGAGAUUAGAGAUACUGCAAAUGCACAACAGUUGAAUUAGAUUUGACGGUGGGACGAAACUUAAGGAGCAGCACUGACUGCCAAUUUACAGAGACAUUCAGUCUAAUUGGGAGGAGCCUUAUCAUGCAGUAAGUCAAUCACCAUAAAAUGGGUGGGGUAAAAACUUACUAAACAAACAAACUAAAGGUAGAUGCAGCACAGGCCUGGAAAAGCACUACAACAGAAGAAUGCAACACUGUAGUGAUAUCAGUGGGCACUCAGGUAAUGUGCUAUUUACUUUACUACGAUCUGUUCCAAUACAUUUGCACGCCUAAAAAUGAUGUAACUAUUAGAAAAUGAAAGCUGAAAAUCUGAUGGUCUCUUUUGUUCUUAUGAUCUUUUCAUCUCAAACCCAAAUUUCUCAUGUGUAUAUAAUAAAAUAUUUGGCCAUAUGAAUAUUUUAAUCAAUGAAUGCAUAUGCAUGCAGUUUUCUUUUUAAUUCAUUAGUUCCACUUGUUCCAUUUAUUAGUUCCAUAACUGAAGUUUGGAGAAAGCAGGACCUUUUCUUUACCUGCUUUUUAACUGUGAAGUUUUGGGGAUGCCUGUGAUCACUACAGCCUCAAACUCUUCUUCAUGGAGGAUGUGGAUCAGUGUGUAGGUCCAAAACACUAUUCUGGGCACAAUGUUUGUAAAGUCUGGCCAUUCUCAUCUAAUGUAUCUUGUGUCAAUAAAGUUGUUUCCCUCAGCA
Silurus meridionalis is the source of this 2867-nucleotide long non-coding RNA. RefSeq lists it as uncharacterized. The record is from RefSeq and is a predicted model, not a curated record. Lineage: Eukaryota; Metazoa; Chordata; Actinopteri; Siluriformes; Siluridae. The transcript has 2 exons.